Molecule: ribosomal RNA, 515 nt
Filed under: uncultured bacterium
Lineage: Bacteria
Description: partial 16S ribosomal RNA
Rfam family: Bacterial small subunit ribosomal RNA
Source: RNAcentral
GAUGAACGCUGGCGGCGUGCCUAAUACAUGCAAGUCGAGCGAAUGGAUUAAGAGCUUGCUCUUAUGAAGUUAGCGGCGGACGGGUGGGUAACACGUGGGUAACCUGCCCAUAAGACUGGGAUAACUCCGGGAAACCGGGGCUAAUACCGGAUAACAUUUUGAACCGCAUGGUUCGAAAUUGAAAGGCGGCUUCGGCUGUCACUUAUGGAUGGACCCGCGUCGCAUUAGCUAGUUGGUGAGGUAACGGCUCACCAAGGCAACGAUGCGUAGCCGACCUGAGAGGGUGGUCGGCCACACUGGGACUGAAACACGGCCCAGACUCCUACGGGAGGCAGCAGUAGGGAAUCUUCCGCAAUGGACGAAAGUCUGACGGAGCAACGCCGCGUGAGUGAUGAAGGCUUUCGGGUCGUAAAACUCUGUUGUUAGGGAAGAACAAGUGCUAGUUGAAUAAGCUGGCACCUUGACGGUACCUAACCAGAAAGCCACGGCUAACUACGUGCCAGCCGCCGCUGUAA